GAGUUUGAUCCUGGCUCAGAUUGAACGCUGGCGGCAGGCCUAACACAUGCAAGUCGAGCGGUAGAGAGAAGCUUGCUUCUCUUGAGAGCGGCGGACGGGUGAGUAAUGCCUAGGAAUCUGCCUGGUAGUGGGGGAUAACGCUCGGAAACGGACGCUAAUACCGCAUACGUCCUACGGAAGAAAGCAGGGGACCUUCGGGCCUUGCGCUAUCAGAUGAGCCUAGGUCGGAUUAGCUAGUUGGUGAGGUAAUAGGCUCACCAAGGCGACGAUCCGUAACUGGUCUGAGAGGAUGAUCAGUCACACUGGAACUGAGACACGGUCCAGACUCUACGGGAGGCGAGCAGUGGGGAAGUAUUGGACAAUGGGCGAAAGCCUGAUCCAGCCAUGCCGCGUGUGUGAAGAAGGUCUUCGGAUUGUAAAGCACUUUAAGUUGGGAGGAAGGCAGUAAAUUAAUACUUUGCUGUUUUGACGUUACCGACAGAGUAAGCACCGGCUAACUCUGU
RNAcentral lists this ribosomal RNA (503 nucleotides) under uncultured bacterium. Its description in RNAcentral is "bacterial SSU rRNA". It matches the Rfam family "Bacterial small subunit ribosomal RNA", at positions 9 to 506 of the family's 1533-position model. The record is from RNAcentral.